UGCAUGUAUUUCAAUUGUGGAUGUUAGAGUUUUUUCAAGUUUAUGGUAGUACUAACUUUCGUGUUGUGCUUUAAGUGUAAACAGUUAAUCUAAACACUUGAGAAUUGAGUGAAUUUUAUCCUGUGAGGAUCUUACUGUUGUUGAUGUACUCUUUGGUAAUCUAUUUUCCUAUCCGCUUUGAAUGUCAGAAAAAGUUGCUUACUAACACUAUAUUCUUGAAGCUUAGGUUAGAAUUAUGUUUGUACCUUAUAUCUUGAAAACUUUUGGAAGUGCAUGCUCUG
Molecule: long non-coding RNA, 281 nt
Filed under: Lathyrus oleraceus (garden pea)
Lineage: Eukaryota; Viridiplantae; Streptophyta; Magnoliopsida; Fabales; Fabaceae
Description: Pisum sativum (pea) long non-coding RNA (PSAT_LNC016856)
Source: RNAcentral